UCCGAGUUGACCCCGGCAGUCUCCCUAGAGUGCCCAACUGAAUGGUGGCAACUAAGGACGAGGGUUGCGCUCGUUGCGGGACUUAACCCAACAUCUCACGACACGAGCUGACGACAGCCAUGCAGCACCUGUCUCAUGGUUCCUUACGGCACUCCCACCUCUCAGCGGACUUCCUGGCAUGUCAAGGGUAGGUAAGGUUCUUCGCGUUGCAUCGAAUUAAUCCACAUCAUCCACCGCUUGUGCGGGUCCCCGUCAAUUCCUUUGAGUUUUAACCUUGCGGCCGUACUCCCCAGGCGGUCAACUUCACGCGUUAGCUUCGUUACUAAUGGGUUUAACCCCACCAACAACCAGUUGACAUCGUUUAGGGCGUGGACUAC
RNAcentral lists this unclassified non-coding RNA (377 nucleotides) under uncultured Gammaproteobacteria bacterium. RNAcentral's name for it is "contains 16S-23S intergenic spacer region". The record is from RNAcentral. Lineage: Bacteria; Pseudomonadati; Pseudomonadota; Gammaproteobacteria.